Molecule: small RNA, 30 nt
Filed under: Bombyx mori (domestic silkworm)
Lineage: Eukaryota; Metazoa; Arthropoda; Insecta; Lepidoptera; Bombycidae
Description: ovarian small RNA-31126
Source: RNAcentral
UGAAUCGGCGUCCCCGCACUCAUGUGCGUC